AGCGAGGCAGAGGAAUUGGUCAACUCGUCAGGCUCAUGACCUGAAGAUUGCAAAGCUCGAAUCCUAUCCCCGCCU
Molecule: non-coding RNA, 75 nt
Organism: Datura stramonium (jimsonweed)
Lineage: Eukaryota; Viridiplantae; Streptophyta; Magnoliopsida; Solanales; Solanaceae
Source: the annotation of a GenBank genome assembly